This 1044-nucleotide ribosomal RNA is filed under the name Salmonella enterica subsp. enterica serovar Typhimurium. RNAcentral's name for it is "partial 23S ribosomal RNA". It matches the Rfam family "Bacterial large subunit ribosomal RNA", at positions 583 to 1547 of the family's 2925-position model. Lineage: Bacteria; Pseudomonadati; Pseudomonadota; Gammaproteobacteria; Enterobacterales; Enterobacteriaceae. The record is from RNAcentral.
CUUCGGGGUGUGACUGCGUACCUUUUGUAUAAUGGGUCAGCGACUUAUAUUCUGUAGCAAGGUUAACCGUAUAGGGGAGCCGGAGGGAAACCGAGUCUUAAUUGGGCGUUAAGUUGCAGGGUAUAGACCCGAAACCCGGUGAUCUAGCCAUGGGCAGGUUGAAGGUUGGGUAACACUAACUGGAGGACCGAACCGACUAAUGUUGAAAAAUUAGCGGAUGACCUGUGGCUGGGGGUGAAAGGCCAAUCAAACCGGGAGAUAGCUGGUUCUCCCCGAAAGCUAUUUAGGUAGCGCCUCGUGAAUUCAUCUCCGGGGGUAGAGCACUGUUUCGGCUAGGGGGCCAUCCCGGCUUACCAACCCGAUGCAAACUGCGAAUACCGGAGAAUGUUAUCACGGGAGACACACGGCGGGUGCUAACGUCCGUCGUGAAGAGGGAAACAACCCAGACCGCCAGCUAAGGUCCCAAAGUCAUGGUUAAGUGGGAAACGAUGUGGGAAGGCCCAGACAGCCAGGAUGUUGGCUUAGAAGCAGCCAUCAUUUAAAGAAAGCGUAAUAGCUCACUGGUCGAGUCGGCCUGCGCGGAAGAUGUAACGGGGCUAAACCAUGCACCGAAGCUGCGGCAGCGAACGUAUCACCCAAGACAACUUUACGGAGUUGACGAUUGACGGAGCGAAGCGACGUCAAAGCGUUCAUUAAAGUCGAGUUGGCUUAGGGAUACGUUCGUUGGGUAGGGGAGCGUUCUGUAAGCCUGUGAAGGUGUGUCGUGAGGCAUGCUGGAGGUAUCAGAAGUGCGAAUGCUGACAUAAGUAACGAUAAAGCGGGUGAAAAGCCCGCUCGCCGGAAGACCAAGGGUUCCUGUCCAACGUUAAUCGGGGCAGGGUGAGUCGACCCCUAAGGCGAGGCCGAAAGGCGUAGUCGAUGGGAAACGGGUUAAUAUUCCCGUACUUGGUGUUACUGCGAAGGGGGGACGGAGAAGGCUAUGUUGGCCGGGCGACGGUUGUCCCGGUUUAAGCGUGUAGGUGUGUGUUCCAGGUAAAUCCGGUU